CAACGGCCGCCAGGGCGCGCAAAAAAGACACACAAAAAAGAAAUGGGCGCGCUUCUUUCUUUUCUCUUUCGCCCUUUGGCAGUAGGACCGAUCAUGGCCUGGCCGACGCCUCACAGACCGACCCAUGCACAGAAAGAAAAAAAACACAAAAACACUGACGAUGUGUGCGUCGCAAUGGCGGCAAGAGUGAGGAAAAAAGGAGAGGGUGGCACAAAAAUCAUAGAGACAACGGGGUCGCGUCGUCUCGACGCUCGGCAGCAAUCUCGGCCAGUCGACCACACAAGAUUUCGGGCCGCACGGCCUCGGCAUCGUUGGGUUCCACGCCCCACCAGAGGGCCACAUCCAAGAGGCGAUCGGCACCGGGGAGACGACCCGAGGGCAGGGCGGGCGCGGCACACACGCCCUGCCAAGCGUAGGCGGCUGCGCGGUCGAGCAUCUCGUUGGGGGCCACUCCCGCACGCAGGGGGCCCGUGUAGGCACGCGCUGCCAGGUUGGUCAGCGACGGCGAGGCGUAGCCGAGGGCAGCCCGACGUGCGGCCACCUGCCCCUCAAAGAGGCGUAGGGCCAGCACGAGACGGCACUCGUCGAUCCACACGCCCUUCAUGCCGCCAUAGUACCAGACGUCGUAGGGAUCGGCGUAGGUCUCUUCGGUAAAGCGGCGCACAGGGUCGGGCAGGGCAAAGUCAGACCCCAGCGGCAGCAUGGCGGCCUUGAUUUGCUGUGCGCCCGCCGGCGUCGGAUCGAGCAGCGCCGACGUCAGCGCAAAGUCUGCCGCAUAGGUCUCUCGCUCGUCCUCGUAGGGCUCAUGCUCAUGGGGCGAUGCCACCGCUGCCAGAAACAGCGGCAACGACCGAGUGUAUGGACCGAGCGCCGCCGGAACGUGCAGGGCGCCCUGCGCACGCCGAUCCGCGCGCGGCGUCGGGACAAAAGGCUGGACCGUGGUCGCUGGCAGGGAUGCCGGCACAAGGACACUGGCCACCAGUGUCGCCAUGCGCGCUUGCGGCGCCACGGCAAACAGCGCCAUAUGCAUGCCCUCUUCGGCGUCGUUUUCAAAGACAAAGUAAGAGGUGCCAGAGUCGCAGCCGGGCAGGCGCGCGGAUCCGCCAGGUGCCAGCGCCUGAUCCCACUCGCCACCGGCAAAGGGGUCGAUAAAGCCCUCGAAAGGGCCGGUGCCACCGACGCCGAACACUUCAUGUCGCCGCGCGGCACCUUCCAACGCCAUGACGAGUUCCUGCGCAACUUCGCUCAUCGAAAAGUCAAUGGCGCGCUGGGCGAGCCGGUAGACGUGCGCUCUGGCCGUUUGCGGAUCCAGGGCCUCAUAGGUGCGCACGGCAUCGGCAAAGGUCGGCGGCCAUCUGGCGGCAUGCGCGCGCACGGCAGCGAGGGCCGCGGAGAACCGGCUCUCACCGAGAAUCUCCCACAGUGCGCGGUAGGGUUCAACAAGGGUCUCGCACGUCGGGGUUUGUGCAGGCCUUGCCGGACCCAGCGGAUCCAUCGGGGUGCCCACCGCGUGUGUGCCCGCCAGUCCCCCGCCCGAGGCUCCGAGGGCGAGUCUCAAGGCCUCGUACAGAUCGUCGGCAUCGGCCGACCUGUCUGCGAUGCGUGCGCACAGUGCUUCGAGGUCGGCGAUGGCCGCGUCCGCAUCCCACGGUCCUGUCUCGGCUCCCGUGUCAUCAUCACCAUCACCGCCACCAUCCAACCGAGGCUGUUUGUAGGUGGGCGAUCCGACAAACAUGGGCUCGGAAAAGUCGUCGUCACCAUCAUCGUCGUCGCGCUGCGGCAGCCGGCGCUUCAUUUUUCUUCCUUCAAAAAAUAGACCUGGAUAAUGUUUUUUCCUUUUACUGAGAGUCUGU
RNAcentral lists this long non-coding RNA (1853 nucleotides) under Pandoravirus quercus. RNAcentral's name for it is "hypothetical ncRNA". The record is from RNAcentral.